UUAGGAAUCUUCCACAAUGGGGGCAACCCUGAUGGAGCAACACCGCGUGCUGGAUGAAGGCUUUCGAGUUGUAAACAGCUUUUAUUUGCGAAGAAUAUGACGGUAACAAAUGAAUAAGGGUCGGCUAACUACGUGCCAGCAGCCGCGGUCAUACGUAGGACCCAAGCGUUAUCCGGAGUGACUGGGCGUAAAGAGUUGCGUAGGCGGUCUUUUAAGCGAGUAGUGAAAUCUGAUGGCUCAACCAUCAACCCAUUGCUCGAACUGGGAGACUUGAGAAUGGUAGAGGUAGUUGGAAUUUCUUGUGUAGGAGUGAAAUCCGUAGAUAUAAGAAGGAACACCAAUGGCGUAGGCAGACUACUGGACCAUUUCUGACGCUGAGGCACGAAAGCGUGGGGAGCGA
RNAcentral lists this ribosomal RNA (400 nucleotides) under uncultured bacterium. RNAcentral describes it as "bacterial SSU rRNA". It matches the Rfam family "Bacterial small subunit ribosomal RNA", at positions 355 to 771 of the family's 1533-position model. The record is from RNAcentral.